UAAUACGGAGGGUGCUAGCGUUGUUCGGAAUCACUGGGCGUAAAGGGCGUGUAGGCGGUCUGCUAAGUCUGAUGUGAAAUCCCCUCGCUCAACGAGGGAACUGCGUCGGAUACUGGCAGACUCGAGUACCGGAGAGGAAGGUGGAAUUCCCGGUGUAGCGGUGAAAUGCGUAGAUAUCGGGAGGAACAUCGGUGGCGAAGGCGGCCUUCUGGACGGAUACUGACGCUGAGACGCGAAAGCGUGGGGAGCAAACAGG
This 256-nucleotide ribosomal RNA is filed under the name uncultured bacterium. RNAcentral's name for it is "partial 16S ribosomal RNA". It matches the Rfam family "Bacterial small subunit ribosomal RNA", at positions 521 to 776 of the family's 1533-position model. The record is from RNAcentral.